Molecule: ribosomal RNA, 467 nt
Filed under: uncultured bacterium
Lineage: Bacteria
Description: partial 16S ribosomal RNA
Rfam family: Bacterial small subunit ribosomal RNA
Source: RNAcentral
GACGAACGCUGGCGGCGUGCUUAACACAUGCAAGUCGAACGGAAAGGCCCUGCUUUUGUGGGGUGCUCGAGUGGCGAACGGGUGAGUAACACGUGAGUAACCUGCCCUUGACUUUGGGAUAACUUCAGGAAACUGGGGCUAAUACCGGAUAGGAGCUCCUGCUGCAUGGUGGGGGUUGGAACGUUUCGGCGGUUGGGGAUGGACUCGCGGCUUAUCAGCGUGUUGGUGGGGUAGUGGCUUACCAAGGCUUUGACGGGUAGCCGGCCUGAGAGGGUGACCGGCCACAUUGGGACUGAGAUACGGCCAAGACACCUACGGGAGGCAGCAGUGGGGAAGCAUGCACAAUGGGCGGAAGCCUGAUGCAGCAACGCCGCGUGCGGGAUGACGGCCUUCGGGUUGUAAACCGCUUUCGCCUGUGACGAAGCGUGAGUGAAGGAAAUGGGUAAAGAAGCACCGGCUAACUACGU